This 26-nucleotide small RNA is filed under the name Arabidopsis thaliana (thale cress). RNAcentral describes it as "ATSL137650". The record is from RNAcentral. Lineage: Eukaryota; Viridiplantae; Streptophyta; Magnoliopsida; Brassicales; Brassicaceae.
AACAGCAAGAACAACAACAACAACAG